Molecule: ribosomal RNA, 502 nt
Filed under: Clostridium sp. AL02-16
Lineage: Bacteria; Bacillati; Bacillota; Clostridia; Eubacteriales; Clostridiaceae
Description: bacterial SSU rRNA
Rfam family: Bacterial small subunit ribosomal RNA
Source: RNAcentral
GAUACCUGGCGGCGUGCCUACACAUGCAAGUCGAGCGAUCUCUUCCGGAAAGAGCGCCGGGACGAGGGUGUAGUAACACGCUGGGGUAACCUGCCCUGUGCACACGGGAUAACAUACCCCAAGGUGUACUAUUACGGGAUAACAUACAAUAGUCUCAUGGGUUUUGUAUCUCAGCUCCCCCGGUGCACGAUGGACCCCCGUCUGAUUAUCUAUUUGGUAAGGUGAUGGCUUACCCAGGCGACAAUCUCUAUCCCACCUCAGAGGGUGAUCUGCCACACUGUAACUCAGACACGGUCCACACUCCUACAGGAGGCACCACUGUGGAAUAUUUCACACUGGGCGAAAGCCUGUUGCACCAACACCCCGUGAGCGAUAAAAGCCUUCUGGUCUCAAAGCUCUGUCCUCUCGGAAAAUAAUGACAGUGCUCGUGGAGGAAACCCCGGCUAACUACAUGCCACCACCCCCGCUAAUACAUAUGGGGCUAUCGUUAUCCCCAAUUACU